CGGCAUUUUAGCAGGAAUGACACAAAUUGGAUUUGCUGGCUGUCACCGAGCCCGCUCAGUCAGCCCAUUCCACUGCAAUGAGAUUUACAGGACAAAUCCAAUUGGGACGGCUGUCCUUGGCCCUCAGAGGGUUUCCUGCACGUGGCUGCUGUCUCCUGGUGACCAGGUGAGUGAAGAAUUUUGGGGAGGUGAACAAGGUGGUUGAAUGGGGACAGAUGCUCCACCGUCCCCUUUUGGGGGAUGCCACACCAGGCCCAGCUCACCUCACAGCAGAGAGGCCUUUGUGCCGUGCCAUCCCGAUCCUCCACGAUGGAAAAGGUCAACCUAUGGGUUCUCCUUUCUGGUGGGCUGCCUUGGCCUGUGACAGAGCCAGCUGCUCCCACACUCCCUGUCCUCCACAGCACAGAAGGAAACAGCACAAAGCAGCUUUGUGGAAAAGGAAAACACGAGGAGAUCGCUUACCGGUGUGGGUUUAACAGGUUGCCCAAGCCCCCAAGGACCACACAAGGAUCUCUCAGCCUGCACACCAGAUUUGGGAAAGGUCUUUGACAGGUUUUCUAAUUGCAAAAAAAAUAUCAUAUCGUGGAACUGUAACAAAAUGUAAAUUAUCUAAAAGCAAGUCCUUGCUGGAGUGGCUCAGACUUGUCUCUGUCUCUUCCCCUGCCCCUUCAGCCAUUCUGUGUGUCCAUCAGGGACCAGAGUGAAGGUUCCUGCUGUCCCACCGUUGUCUGUCUGUCCUCCUGCCCUUUGUGUGCUCACACACCCAGGGAAAGGGAAUGGGGAGGAAGGACCCUUCUGCACAGCAGCUCUUGCAGAAUCCCCCUCCCAGGAAUGGAGAGGAUGGCCCCAAAGCAUUGUGAAAUGGGGGCUCUUUUCACUCCAGAAAAACAACAGCAGGCAAGAGACAGACACUGAAAAAGCAGCAGACUGAGACAUGUCCUUAAACACAUUUCUCAGUGCCUUUAAUGAGGGUCUGUGCAGCCAGGGAAUGGCUCCUUUAAUUCCCCCUUUUCUUCUGCCAUUGCUGGCUCUAUUUAGCUAAUUUUGAAUUUUCUGAGUGAUGCUCUUGUGGCAUCAAGAACAUGGUUUCCUUUCUGGAUACUUUGACAACACAUUUUUUAAGUUUCCACCUGAAGUUUGAACUCCUUAAAUUACACAAAUCCAUAGUCAAUCCCUAUUUUGACAGACAGAAACUUGUUUUCUUUCAUGUAAACUACCUAUAAACACUUUGAGAAAGGAAAUGAGAACAUCCAAGAGGUAAAUCCAAAAUAAAAACAUUUAUAUUUAUACA
RNAcentral lists this long non-coding RNA (1291 nucleotides) under Parus major (Great Tit). Its description in RNAcentral is "lncRNA (ENSPMJG00000004547.1)". Lineage: Eukaryota; Metazoa; Chordata; Aves; Passeriformes; Paridae. The record is from RNAcentral.